This 1677-nucleotide ribosomal RNA is filed under the name Escherichia coli. Its description in RNAcentral is "bacterial LSU rRNA". It matches the Rfam family "Bacterial large subunit ribosomal RNA", at positions 1270 to 2925 of the family's 2925-position model. The record is from RNAcentral. Lineage: Bacteria; Pseudomonadati; Pseudomonadota; Gammaproteobacteria; Enterobacterales; Enterobacteriaceae.
AUGCUGGAGGUAUCAGAAGUGCGAAUGCUGACAUAAGUAACGAUAAAGCGGGUGAAAAGCCCGCUCGCCGGAAGACCAAGGGUUCCUGUCCAACGUUAAUCGGGGCAGGGUGAGUCGACCCCUAAGGCGAGGCCGAAAGGCGUAGUCGAUGGGAAACAGGUUAAUAUUCCUGUACUUGGUGUUACUGCGAAGGGGGGACGGAGAAGGCUAUGUUGGCCGGGCGACGGUUGUCCCGGUUUAAGCGUGUAGGCUGAUUUUCCAGGUAAAUCCGGAAAAUCAAGGCUGAGGCGUGAUGACAAGGCACUACGGUGCUGAAGCAACAAAUGCCCUGCUUCCAGGAAAAGCCUCUAAGCAUCAGGUAACAUCAAAUCGUACCCCAAACCGACACAGGUGGUCAGGUAGAGAAUACCAAGGCGCUUGAGAGAACUCGGGUGAAGGAACUAGGCAAAAUGGUGCCGUAACUUCGGGAGAAGGCACGCUGAUACGUAGGUGAAGUCCCUUGCGGAUGGAGCUGAAAUCAGUCGAAGAUACCAGCUGGCUGCAACUGUUUAUUAAAAACACAGCACUGUGCAAACACGAAAGUGGACGUAUACGGUGUGACGCCUGCCCGGUGCCGGAAGGUUAAUUGAUGGGGUUAGCGGUAACGCGAAGCUCUUGAUCGAAGCCCCGGUAAACGGCGGCCGUAACUAUAACGGUCCUAAGGUAGCGAAAUUCCUUGUCGGGUAAGUUCCGACCUGCACGAAUGGCGUAAUGAUGGCCAGGCUGUCUCCACCCGAGACUCAGUGAAAUUGAACUCGCUGUGAAGAUGCAGUGUACCCGCGGCAAGACGGAAAGACCCCGUGAACCUUUACUAUAGCUUGACACUGAACAUUGAGCCUUGAUGUGUAGGAUAGGUGGGAGGCUUUGAAGUGUGGACGCCAGUCUGCAUGGAGCCGGCCUUGAAAUACCACCCUUUAAUGUUUGAUGUUCUAACGUUGACCCGUUAUCCGGGUUGCGGACAGUGUCUGGUGGGUAGUUUGACUGGGGCGGUCUCCUCCUAAAGAGUAACGGAGGAGCACGAAGGUUGGCUAAUCCUGGUCGGACAUCAGGAGGUUAGUGCAAUGGCAUAAGCCAGCUUGACUGCGAGCGUGACGGCGCGAGCAGGUGCGAAAGCAGGUCAUAGUGAUCCGGUGGUUCUGAAUGGAAGGGCCAUCGCUCAACGGAUAAAAGGUACUCCGGGGAUAACAGGCUGAUACCGCCCAAGAGUUCAUAUCGACGGCGGUGUUUGGCACCUCGAUGUCGGCUCAUCACAUCCUGGGGCUGAAGUAGGUCCCAAGGGUAUGGCUGUUCGCCAUUUAAAGUGGUACGCGAGCUGGGUUUAGAACGUCGUGAGACAGUUCGGUCCCUAUCUGCCGUGGGCGCUGGAGAACUGAGGGGGGCUGCUCCUAGUACGAGAGGACCGGAGUGGACGCAUCACUGGUGUUCGGGUUGUCAUGCCAAUGGCACUGCCCGGUAGCUAAAUGCGGAAGAGAUAAGUGCUGAAAGCAUCUAAGCACGAAACUUGCCCCGAGAUGAGUUCUCCCUGACUCCCUGAGAGUCCUGAAGGAACGUUGAAGACGACGACGUUGAUAGGCCGGGUGUGUAAGCGCAGCGAUGCGUUGAGCUAACCGGUACUAAUGAACCGUGAGGCUUAACCUU